UAUCAAUCGACAAACCGAACGUUCGAUAGUACUUGUAGAAUCAUCCAUUAGUCGAAUAUCCAUUUGACAUACUUUUAAGCAUUAGAAUAAAUGGUAAUAAGCCGAAUGCCUUGCGUCCAAUCUUAGUCGGCUUAGUACAUCAAGUUAUUUGAUAAUCGAUGGCAAGCUGAAUAUCCUUCGACCGAUCAUAGUCAAGUCGGUAUAAUUUUAAUCCAAC
Molecule: long non-coding RNA, 217 nt
Filed under: Elaeis guineensis (African oil palm)
Lineage: Eukaryota; Viridiplantae; Streptophyta; Magnoliopsida; Arecales; Arecaceae
Description: long non-coding RNA (EGUI_LNC022565)
Source: RNAcentral